Papio anubis (olive baboon) is the source of this 73-nucleotide non-coding RNA. Lineage: Eukaryota; Metazoa; Chordata; Mammalia; Primates; Cercopithecidae. The record is from Rfam.
UAGAUUGAAGCUAGUUGAUUAGGGCAUUUAGUUGUUAACUAAAUUUUCGUGGGUUUGCAUCCCAUUAAUCUAG